CAAUCCUGCUGCUUAUCUUUCUUUCCAGAAGGUACAGAUUAGCUGGGUAUGGCAGAAGAACAGAGGUCUUCCAAAGAUGUCCAAUUGUACAGAUCCAGGAGAAGUUGGGCUGAGGUGAUGUAUACAGCUGCUUCACCACAGGGUCACUGGACAGCUGCAGACACAAGAAAAGUAUGUAUAUGCAGCCACUGAAAAGCAGCUGAGUCCCAGAGGCAGCCCCUGCAUCUCCCCUGCAAUGCCACCAGAUGCCACCAGGAGGAUUACAGCCCCCAUGACCCAAAAGACAACAACCUAGAAGGAUUUUGGUAAGCAUCCAAUGGCAAGGUGGACUCCAUGGUAUUGUUUUC
This 347-nucleotide long non-coding RNA is filed under the name Gallus gallus (chicken). RNAcentral's name for it is "long non-coding RNA NONGGAT004208". Lineage: Eukaryota; Metazoa; Chordata; Aves; Galliformes; Phasianidae. The record is from RNAcentral.